Molecule: ribosomal RNA, 207 nt
Filed under: uncultured Psychrobacter sp.
Lineage: Bacteria; Pseudomonadati; Pseudomonadota; Gammaproteobacteria; Moraxellales; Moraxellaceae
Description: partial 16S ribosomal RNA
Rfam family: Bacterial small subunit ribosomal RNA
Source: RNAcentral
AGCGUAGGUGGCUUGAUAAGUCAGAUGUGGAAGCCCCGGGCUUAACCUGGGAACGGCAUCUGAUACUGUUAGGCUAGAGUAGGUGAGAGGAAGGUAGAAUUCCAGGUGUAGCGGUGAAAUGCGUAGAGAUCUGGAGGAAUACCGAUGGCGAAGGCAGCCUUCUGGCAUCAUACUGACACUGAGGUUCGAAAGCGUGGGUAGCAAACA